UUAGUUUGACCACUACAGUUAUCAAAAACAUUUUAUAAAAAAUAUUCCCCCGUUUUAAAAAUAAUAACCUAUUUUGAUUUGACAUAAAAGUUUAAGAAAAUAAAAAAUAUUUUUAAAUUUUAAUAAUUUUAAAUUAAAAUUAUAUCAAAUAUACUAAAAUAUCAUUCAAUCUCAUGGACAUGAUCUUAAAUAUUAAUUUGAAAAAUUGGAAUGAAAGGGUUACUAAAAUAAAAAGGAUCAUUUUCUUAAAACAUAUUUUAAAAAAUGUAUCAAUGAAACUAUAGUAUAAAAUCCUGCUAACCAAAGAUUGAUGAUUCGAUCCUAGCUAUGAAGAAAAUUCUGUUGGGAGGAAUAGCUAAGUGGGCUGAAUUCACAUUAAUUGGGAAUGAAAAAACAAAAAAAAAUAGUAUAAAAUCCCCUUAACAAUUUUCAUUUUUCUUCAACUUAAGACGAAAAAUAAAAAUUGAGCGAAACAGAGGUAAUGGGGAGUCUUUUAAUGGUGGUUGCCCUCUAUGUUUUCGCCAAUGAUUUCCAUUUUCCCGCCAAAAAUAUAAUCCACAAUUUUAUCUUAAGGGUCUGUUUGGUUAAGAUGUUGCAUUGAAAACGGAGAGUCAUAGGCACACACUAUUAGAGUUCGGGUCGGGUAUUUGGAGCUUAACCCGUAUCUUGGCGGGUCGACCCGGCAAGGUCUGCAGCCAUGGCGGGUUGCUUUGCCUGAUUUUAUCUUAAGGGUCUGGUUAAGCUGUUGCAUGAAAAAUUUCGAUGAAAAUCGAAAAGUUUCUGCAGUAUGUAUACAUACACACACAUAUAUAUACACACUCAAAGCUGAUAUUGUUGUUGCUUUUACGAAUGAUAUAGGCUGUGAUGAUUAAGCAGUCUAGAGUUCGGGUUGGGUCGGGUAUUUGGAGCUUAACCCGUAUCUUGGCGGGGCGACCCGGAAAGACCUGCAGCCAUGGCGGUUUGCUUUGUCUCCUUGUUUGCCUGAUUUUAUCUUAAGGCUCUGUUUGGUUGAAGCUGUUGCAUGAUAAAUUUCGAUGAAAAUCGAAAAAGUUUCUGCAGUAUGUAUACAUACACACACAUUAAGCUGAUAUUGUUGUUGUUGUUGCUGUUACGAAUGAUAGGCUGUGAUGAUUAAGCUGUCUAGAGUUCGGGUCGGGUCGGGUAUUUGGAGCUGACCCGUAUCUUGGCGGGGCGACCCGGUAUGGUAGCUUCCAUUGUCUUGCAACUGAAGGUCUGCAGCCAUGGCGGUUGCUUUGUCUCCUUUUUGCCUGAUUUUAUCUGAAGGGUCUGUUUGGUUAAGCUGUUGCAUUGAAAAUUUCGCUGAAAAUCGAAAAGUUUCUGCAGUAUGCAUACAUACACACAUACCAAGCUGAUAUUGUCGUUGUUGUUGAUGUUGUUGCUAUUAUAAAUGAUACACUGUGAUGAUUAAGCUGUCUAGAGUUCGUGGGGGUAAGGGAGUUGGGUCCGUAUCUUGGUGGGGCGACCUGGAAGGUAAUAUGAGCUGUAGUGCAGCUGAGGUCAGCAGCCAUGGCGGAUGCAUUGUCUCCUUUGUCCUGAUUAUACUGAUCUGAGCCUUAAGUGUCUGUUUGGUUACGCUGUUGCAUUGAAACUUUCGAUGAAAUUAGAAAAAGUUUCUGCAGUUUGUAUACAUACACAAUAAUCUCUCUCUCUCUCUCUCUCUCUCUCUCUCUCUCUCUCUAUCUAUCUAUCUAUCUAUCUAUCUAUCUAUCUAUAUAUAUAAAGAAAUUAAGGGUUUAGGGCUUAAGAUUUGAUCCUUUAGUUGUUGCUUCUUCUCUUUACUCAUCAUCAUCAUAUAUGGCUUGCAUUGAAAUCCUUGAAAUGGGGUUUCGCUGUCGUUGAUGUUGUUGUUGUUGUUGUUGUUGUUGUUGUUGGUGGUGGUGGUGGUGGUGUUACAAUGUGAGGCUGUGAUGAUUGUGGUGUCUAGAGUUCAUGGGGUAACGGAGCUAUGCCCGUAGCUUGGCGGGGCGACCGGGAAGGCCUUAUUUGUAGAGCAACCGAGGUUCUGCAGCAAUGUUUGAUGUAUGAUUAUACUGAUCUGAGCCUUAAAAUCAGAAGUUUCUGAUUAUACUUGAUUGAGCUGUAGUGCAGCUGAGGUCUGCAGCCAUGGUGGAUGCAUUGUCUCCUUUGUCCUCAUUUUGUAUAUUUGAGCUGAAAAUAGGGCAUGCAGUAUGUAUACAGGUACACAUACAUGCAUGAAUCCUUGAAAAAGUUUUUUUUUGACGUGGUUGAUAUAGUUGUUGUUUUGUUUGCUGCUGUUAUGGACGAGGACAAGAGUUAUUUGUCCUGUGCCGGGGUCUAUUGGAAAUAGCCUCUAUACUUCAUCUGAGGUAGUGAUAUGGACUGCGUACACUUUACCCUCCCCAGACCCCACUUUGUGGGAAUACACUGGGUAUCUUCUUGUUGUUGUUUGUUUGUUACGUUUAUGGAUGAGAGGCUGUGAUGAUUUAAGCUGUCUAGAGUUCAUGGGGUAACGGAGCUGGACCCAUAACUUGGCAGGGCGACCCAGAAGGCACUGUUUGUAGAGCAACUGAGGUCUGCAGCCAUGAGGGAUGUGUUGUCUUCUUUGCCCAUAUUAUACUGAUCUGAGCCUUAAGGGUCUGUUUGGUAACACAAGUGUAUUGAAACUUUCGAUGAAAAUCGGAAGUUUUUGCAGUAUGUAUACAUACUUCUUCUUUUUCCUCUUUGUCAUCAUCAUAUAUGGCCGGCAUUGAAAUCCUUGAAAUGCGUUUUUCGCUGUCAUUGAUAUUGUUGUUGUUGUUGUUGGUGGUGGCGGACGUGGUGGUGGAGUUAAUGUGAGGCUGUGAUGAUUAAGCUGUCUAGAGUUCAUGGGGUAACGAAGCUGUGCCCGUGGCUUGGCGGGGCGACCCGGAAGGCCUAUUUUGUAGUGCAACUGUGGUCUGCAGCCAUGGCGGAUGUGCUGUUUUCUUUUGCCUUGAUUAUAAUGUCUGAGCCUUAAAAUCAGAAGUUUAUGCAGUGUUUAUACAUGCAUUCAUCAUCCAUCUGUCUUUAUCUAUAUAUAUAUACAGAGAGAGAGAGAAAUGAAGAGUUUAAGGUUUAAGAUUUGAUCCUUUUGUUGCUACUUCUUCUUUUUCCUCUUCAUUAUCGUCAUAUAUGAAUCCUUCAAAGGGUUUUGGCGGUUGUUGUUGUUAUUAUUGUUACGGGUGAUAGGCUGUGAUGAUUAAGUUGUCUUAGAGUUGAUGAGGCAAAGUGGAGAUGUGCCCGUAGCUUGGCGGGGCGACUCAAAAGGUACUGUGAGCUGAUUGAGCUGUAGUGCAGCUGAGGUCUGCAGCCAUGGCGGAUGUGUUGUUUCCCUUGCCCUGAUUAUACUGAUCUGAGCCUUAAAAAUGCCCCAAAAAAGGGUAUACAUAUACACAUACAUAUCUCUAUACAUAUAUACAGGAAAAUCUUAUGACUGGUGAUAUAUUCUGAGAAGGGUUUUGCCGUUGUUGAUGUUGUUGUUGUUGCUCUUAGGAGUCGUUUGGCAUGAGGUAUGAGGCAUAAGGUAUAAGGCAUGAUAGUCCUGGGAUAAAAUGCAUGAUUUAGUCCUGGGAUUAUUUAAUCCACCAUUUAUGCAUAGUGAUGGAAUAAGUUAUCCCAUAUACAUGGUGUGAUAACUAAUCUCCAAUAACUUGUUCCCAACCAAACGACCCCUUAAGGAUUAGAGGCUGUGAUAUUUAAGGUCUCUAGGGUUCAUGGGGCAAGGGAGCUGGAUCCGUAUCUCGGCGGGGCAACCUGGAAAGCCUAUUUGAAGUGCAGCCAUGGCGGAUGCAUUGCCUCCUUUGCUCUGAUUAUUCUGUUCUGAGCCUUAAAAUCAGUAGUUUCUGCAGUGUGUAUACAUAUACAUCUCUCUCUCUUUCUCUCUCUCUCUAUAUAUAUAUAUUUAUAUAUAUAUAAUCUAUGAAUUUUUGAAAAUGAGGCAAACAGAGAGGUAUUGGGGUGUCUUCUAAUGGUGGUUGCCCUCUCUCUGUUUAACCGUUGAUUUCCAUUUUCGGGUGAAAAAAUAAAGUGAAAAAUAAACCACCAUUUUAUCUUAAGGGUCGUUUGGUUAAGCUGUUGCAUUGAAUCGGAAGUUUUUGCAGUAUGUAUACAUACACACACAAUAAAAGAAUGAAGGGGUAAGGUUUUAAGAUUUGACCAUUUUGUUGUUGCUUCUUCUUCUUCUCCUUUUUCUGGCAUUGAAAUUCAUGACAUGGGUUUUUGUUGUUGUUGUUGUUGUUGAUGAUGAUGAUGAUAUUGUUGUUGCUUUUACGGAUGAUAGGCUGUGAUGAUAUAUGGAGUUCAUGGGGUAAGGGAGCUGUGCCCGUAUCUCGGCGGGGCAACCUGGAAGGUACUAUGUUUGUAGUGCAACUGAGGUUUGCAGCCAUGGCGGUUGCAUUGUCUCCUUUGCCCUCAUUUUGUAAAUCUGAGCCUUAAAAUCGGAACUUUCUGCAGUAUGUAUAUAGAAACUUCUUCAUCAUCAUCAUCCAUGGUCAGCGUUGAAAUCCUUGAAAUGGGUUUUCACUGUUGUUGUUGAUAUUGUUGUUGCUGUUACGGAUUAGAGGCUGUGAUGAUUUAAGCUGUCUAGAGUUCACAAGGGAAAGGGAGCUGGGUCCGUAUCUUGGCGGGGCGACCUGUAAGGUACUAUGAGCUGAUUGAGCUGUAGUGCAGCUGAUGUCUGCAGCCAUGGCGGAUGCAUUGUCUCCUUAUCUGAGCCUUAAAGAAUGCCCAAAAAAGGGUAGACAUACACACAUAUAUCUCUCUAGACAUAUACUGAUAAGGGUUUUGCCGUUGUUGUUGCUUUUAUGGAUGAGAGGCUGUGAUGAUUAUGGUGUCUCGAGUUCAUAGGGUAAGGGAGCUGGACCCGCAUCUUGGCGGGGCAACCUGGAAGACCCUAUUUGUAGUGCAGCCAUGGUGGAUGCAUUGUCUCCUUUGCUUUGAUUAUACUGAUCUGAGCCUUAAAAUUGGAACUUUCUGCAACAUGCAUACCGAAACUUCUUCAUCAUCAUCAUCAUCCAUGAUCAGCAUUGAAAUCCUUGAAAUGGGUUUUCGCUGUUGCUGUUGUUGUUGCUGUUAUAAAUUAGAGGCUGUGAUGAUUUAAGCUGUCUAGAGUUCAUAGGGGCAAGGGAGCUGGGUCCGUAUCUUGGUGGGGCGAUCCGGAAGGUACUGUGAGCUGAUUGAGCUGUAGUGCAGCUGAGGUCAGCCGCCAUGGCGGAUGCAUUGUCUCCUUUGCCCUGAUUAUACUGAUCUGAGCCUUAAGGGUCUUUUUGGUUAAGCUGUUGCAUUGAAACUUUCGAUGAAAAUUGAAUAAGUUUCUGCAGUUUGUAUAAAUACACACACAAUAAUCUGUAUGUGUGUGUGUGUGUGUAUAUAUAUAUAUACAAAAGGGGAGCCUUGGAGUAACUGGUAAAGUUGUUGCCAUGUGACCAGGAGGUCACGGGUUCAAGCCUUGGAAACAGCCUCUGGCAGAAAUGCAAGGUAAGGUUGCGUACAAUACACCCUUAUGGUGGCCCUUCCCCGGACACCGCGCUUAGCGGUAGGUAGCUUUAGUGCACCGGGUUGCCCUUUUAUACACACACACACACAUAAAGAAAUGAAGGGUUUAGGGUUUAAGAUUUGACCCUGUUGUUACUUCUUCUCUUUACUCAUCAUCAUCAUAUAUGACUUGCGUUGAAAUCCUUGAAAUGGGGUUUCCUCUGUCGUUGAUAUUGCUGCUGCUGCUGCUGCUGCUGCUGUUGGUGGUGUUACAAUGUGAGGCUGUGAUGAUUGAGGUGUCUAGAAUUCAGGGAGUAACGGAGCUAUGCCCGUAGCUUGGCGGGGCGGCCGGAAGGCCUUAUUUGUAGAGCAACUGAGGUUCUGCAGACAUGUUUGAUGCAUUAUCUCCUUUGCCUGAUUAUAUUUAUAUAUAUAUAUAUAUAUAUAUAUUACUGCUUCUUCACCUCUUCCUUUUUAUCUUUGAGGCUGUGAUGAUGACUAAUGAAGUCCGUCUAGAGUUGGGUCGGGUAUUUGGAGCUUACUCCGUAUUCUUGUCAGGGCGACCCAGUAAGGUCUGCAGCCAUGGCGGAUGUGUUUCUUCCUUUUUGCUCUGCUUAUAAUAUCUGAGCCUUAAAUAGGAAGUUUCUGCAGUAUGUGUACAUACUCACAUUCAUCUUCCAUCAAUCUUUUUUAUAUAUACACAUAAAUGAAAGGUUUAAGAUUAAACCCUUUUGCUGUUACUUUUUCUUCCUCCUCCUCAUCUAUGGUCGAUGUUGAAAUCCUUGUAGAAGGGUUUUUGCCGUGGUUGAUAUUGUGGUUGUUGAUGUUGAUGUUGUUGCUGUUACGAAUGAUAGCUUGGAUGAUUAAGCUGUCUAGAGUUCAUGGGGUAAGGAAGCUGGGUCCGUAUCUUGGCGGGGCGACCCGGAAUGAUGCAGCCAUGGAAGAUGCAUCGUAUCCUUUGCUCUGAUUAUAUAAAUCUGAACCUUAAAAUUGGAAGUUUCUGCAGUAUGUAUACAGAUCUAUAUGUUUGUGUGUGUGUAUAUAUAUAUAUAUUAAUUAACAUGCAUACUGGAUUGAAGGGUUUAGGGCCUAAGGUUUGACCUUUCCGCUGUUCCUCCUCCUCCUCCUCAUAUAUGCUCGGCGUUGAAUUCUCGUUGAUGUUGUUGAUAUUGUUGUUGUUGCUGUUACGGAUGAGAGGCUGUGAUGAUUUAAGGUAUCUAGAAUUCAUGGGGUAAGGGAGCUGCUUCCGUAUCUUCGUGGGCGACCUGGAAGGUACUAUUUGUAAUACAAGAGGUCCGCAGCCAUGGCGGAUGCAUUGUUUCCUUUGUCCUGAUUAUACCGAUUUACCCCUUUACUGUUUCUUCAUUGUCGUCGUCAUCCUUGAAAAGGGUUUUUGCUGGCAUGGAAGUUGUUGUUAUUGUUAUUAUUGGUGUUGUUUGUUGUUGUUGGUAUUACGGACGAGAGGCUGUGAUGAUUGACGUGUCUUAAAGCUCACGGGGUAAGGGAGCUGGGUCCGUAUCUUGGUGGGGGCGACCCGGAAGGUGCGAUUAGUAGUGCAACCGAGAUCUGUAGCCAGGCCGUUUGCAUUGUCUCAUUUGCUCUGAUUAUCUAAAUCUGAGCCUUGUAAUCAGAAGUUUCUGCAGUAUGAUACAUAUACACAUACAUAUCUAUAUAUAUUAUACAUUGUUUUCUUCUUCUUUUAUGUGGAUUUGUUGCACCUGAGCCGAGUGUUUUAGAAACAGCCUCUCUCCCUCCACGAGGUAGUGGUGAGGUCUGCGUACUCCCUUCCCUUCCCAUACACCACUUGUGGGAUUUCAUUGGGUAUGUUGCUGUCGUCGUUAUGGAUGAGAGGCUGUGAUGAUUAAUAGCCUGUUUGGCCAAGCUUAUUUUUCUUCAAAAGUGCUUAUUUUUUCUAAAAAGUGCUCUUAUUUUUUAAAAAAAUGAGGUGUUUGGCCAAGCUUUUGAAAGAAAAUAAGUGCUUUUGGGGAGUUUGAAAAAAACAGUUUUUUCAUAAGCUAAAAAAGUAGCUUUUCCCUAAAAGCACUUUUGAGAAAACUUAAAAAGUACUUUUAAAAAGUUUGGCCAACCACUAAUUGUUGCUCAAAAAUUGCUUUUUAAAUUUAUUAGCCAAAUACAAAUUGCUUGUCACCAAAACUGCUUUUUUAGAACAACACUUUUGAAAAUUGAAAUAAGCACUUCUAAAAAUAAGCUGAUUUUAUAAGUUUGACCAAACAGGCUAUAAGGUGUCUAGAGUUCAUGGGGCAAAGGGGAGCUGGCUCUGUAUCUUGGUGGGGGGACCGGGAAGGUACUGUUUGUAGAGCAGCUGAGGUCUGCAGCCUUGGCAGAUGAGGUCUGAGCUGGUCUUUAGUGCAGCUGAGGUCUGCAGCUGAGGCCAAACCCUAAACCUUUUGCUGUUUCUUCAUUGUCAUCAUCAUCCUUCGAAAGAGUUUUGCUGGCAUUGAAAUUGUUGUUGUUGUUAUUAUUAUUGGUGGUGUUGAUGUGUUUGGUGUUAUGGAUGAGAGGCUGUGAUGAUUAAGCUGUCUAGAGUUCAUGGGGCAAGGGAGCUGGGUUCGUAUCUUGGCGGGGCGACCUGGAAGGUACUGUUUGUAGUGCAACCGAGGUAUGCAGCCAUGGCGGAUGCAUUGUCUCCUUUGCUCUGAUUAUACUGAUCUGAGCCUUAUAAUCGGGAAGUUAACUGCAGUAUGUAUACACAUACACUUACACAUACAUCUCUCUCUCUCUCUCUCUCUCUCUAUAUAUAUAUAUAUAUAUAUAUAUGAAUCCUUGAAAUGAGGCAAACAGAGAGAUAUUGGGGAGUCUUUUAAUGGUGGUUGUCCUCUCUCUGUUUCGCCGUUGAUUUCCAUUUUCCAGCUAAAAAAAGGGUGAAACAAUAAACCACCAUUUUUCUUAAGGGUCGUUUGGUAAAGCUGUUGCAUUGAAACUUUUGAUGAAAAUUGAAACGAUUUUGCAGUAUGUAUACAGACACAUACAUACAUACAUAUAUAUAACAUACAUAAAGGAAUGAAGGGCAUAAGAUUUUGACCCUUUUGUUGCUACUUCUUCUUCUUCUUCUUUUUCCGCGUCGAAAUCCGUGAUAUGGGUUUUUGCUGUUGUUGAUGAUGAUGUUGAUGAUGAUAUUGUUGUUGAUUUUAUGGAUGAUAGGCUGCGAUGAUUGAGGUGUCUAGAAUUCAUGGGGUAAAGGAGCUGGGUCUGUAUCUUGGCGGGGCGACCCAGAAGACACUAUAUUUGUAGUGCAAUUGAGGUCUGCAGCCAUGGCGGAUGCAUUGUUUACUUUGCCCUGAUUAUACGGAUCUGAUCCUUAUAAUCGGAAGUUACUGCAGUAUGUAUACAGAUACACAUACCAUCUCUCUCUCUCUAUGUGUGUGUGUGUAUAUAUAUAUUGGUAAGAAAGGUUUAGGGUUAAAGAUUUGACCCUUUUGCUGCUGCUGCUUUUUCCUCCUCCUCCUCAUCAUCAUAUAUGAAUCCUUGAAAAGGGUUUUGGCUGCUGUUAUUGUUGCUGUUAUGGAUGAGAGGCUGUGAUGGUUAAGGUGUCUAGAGUUCAUGGGGCAAAGGAGCAAGGCCCAUAGCGUGGCGGGGCGACCCGGAAGGUACUAUAUUUUUUGUGCAACUGAGGUCUGCUGCCACAAUGGAUGCGAUGUCUCCUUUGCUGUGGUUAUAAUAAUGAUCUGAGCCUUAUAAGGAAGUUUCUGCAGUAUUUAUACAUAUAUACCUACAUCUCUCUCUCUCUCUCUCUAUAUAUAUAUAUAUAUAUUAUGGGAAGAAGGGUUUUGGGUUUAACAUUUGACCCUUUUCUUGCUGCUUCUUCGUUAUCAUAGUUGUCAUCAUCUUCAUCGUCUCUGGCCAGCAAUGAAUCCUGAAAAGGGUUUUUGUUGUGGUUGAAAUUGUUGUUGUUAUGAAUGAUAGGCUAGGAAGCUGGGUCCGUGUAUAUAUAUGUAUAUAUAUAUGGGAAGAAAGGUUUUGGGUUUAACAUUUGGCCCUUUCUUGCUGCUUCUUUGUUAUCAUCGUUGUUGUCAUCUUCAUCGUCUCUGGCCGGCAAUGAAUCCUGAAAAGGGUUUUUGUUGUGGUUGAAGUUGUUGUUGUUAUGAAUGAUAGGCUAGGAAGCUGGGUCCGUAUCUUGGCAAGGCGACCCGGAAGGUACUAUAUAUGUUGUACAAGUGAGGUCUGCAGCCAUGGCGGAUGUAUUGUCUCCUUUGCGUUGAUUAUACUGAUCUAAGACUUGAAAAAUUACCGCAAAAAAGGGUGUAUGCACAUACAUCUGUAUAUAUACACAUAAAGGAAUGGCCCUUUUGAUUCUUCUUUGUCGUUAUCGUCGUCGUCAUCAUCUUCAUCUUCACAAUUUAUGUCCAUUGAUGAAUCCUGAGAUGGGGUUUUUGCUGUGGUUGAAAUUGUUGUCAUUAUUGUUGUUGUUAUUACUUUUUGGAACAGCCUCUCUACGUUCACGAGGUAGUGGUAAGUUACCUUACUUGUGUGAUUUUAAUGGGUAUGUUGUUGUUGUAUUAUUGUUUGUUGUUUGUAUGGAUAAGAGGCUGUGAUGAUUAAGGUGUCUAGAGUUCAUGGGGCAAGGGAGCAAGGCCCGUAUCUUGGUGGUGCGACCCGAAAGGUACUGUUUGUUGUGCAACUGAAGUCUGCAGCCAUGGCGGAUGCAUUGUUUUCUUUGCUCUCAUUAUGUAAAUCUGAACCUGAAAAUCGGAAGUUUCUGCAGUAUGUAUACAGAUACAUCUCUCUCUCUAUAUGUGUGUGUGUGUGUGUAUAUAUAUACACAUACAGGAAUAAAGGGCCCAGGGUUUAAGAUUUGACCCUCUUGUUGUCACUUCUUCUUUUUCCUCUUCAUCAUCAUCAUCUAUGAAUCCUUGAAAAGGAAUUUUGCCGUGGUCGAUAUUAUUAUUAUUAUUACUAUUAUUGUUGAUGUUACGAAGGAUAGGCUGUGAUGAUUUAAGGUGUCUAGAGUUCAUGGGGCAAGGGAGCUGUGCCCUUAGCUUGGCGGGGCGACCCGGAAGGUACUGUUUGUAGUGCAACCGAUGUUUGCAGCCAUAGCAGAUGCAUUGUUUACUUUGCCCUGAUUAUCCGGAUCUGAGCCUUAAAAAGUAUCCCCAAAAGGGUAUACGUAUACACAUACAUCUCUCUAUACCUCUCUCUACGUAUAUACAUUUCUCUUUGUCUUCUUUUACGGGUGACCUGUAAGGUGUAUGUUUAUGUUAUUUUUUCUAAAAAAUACUCAAAGAAAGGGUAUACAUAUAUCUCUUUACAUAUAUACAGAGAUCUUAUGGCUUGUGAUGAUAUCUGAGAAGGGCUGUUGUUGUUGCUCUUAUGGAUGAGAGGCUGUGAUGAUUAAGGUGUCUAGAAUUCAUGGGGUAAGGGAGCUGGACCCGUAUCUUGGCGGGGAAACCUGGAAGGCCUAUUUGUAGUGUAACUGAGGUCUGCAGCCAUGGUGGAUGAGUUGUCUCUUUUGCCCUGAUUAUACUAAUCUGAGCCUUAUAGUGGAAAGAUUUUGGAGGAAGAAAGGUUCAGGAUUUAAGCUCUGACCCUUUUUGUUUCUUCUUCAUCAUUGUCAUCAUCUUCAUCUCUUCCUCAAAUUUAUGUCAGACUAUGAAUCUUGAAAUGGGGUUUUGCCGUGGUUGAAAUUGUUGUUGUUGUUGCUGCACUUGAGCCAAGGGUCUUUCUGAAGCAGCCUCUCUCCACGAGGUAGUGGUGAGAGGCUGCGAUGAUUAAGCUGUCUAGAGUUCAUAGAGUAAGGAAGAUGGGUCAGUAUCUUGGCGGGACGACCCGGAAGGUACUAUUGGUAGUGCAAUCAAGUCUGCAGCCAUGACGGAUGUGUUGUAUCCUUUGCUGCUCUGACUGUACUGAUCUGAGCCUUAAAAAAAUACCCUUAGGCCUCAUUUGUUUGCACUUAAUGGAGAUCUGAAUCUGAAUGGUUCAGAUUUUAGUCUAUUAAGUGCAUUUGUUUUUUUUUUAUAAACUGCCUCUUAAUGUAUCUGAAAGCCUCUGAAUCAGUCAGAUAUGAAAGAGCCUGAAAGAUGUUCAGACACUUUUUAAAACAUAAUUUAUUCCCUCAAAACUCUCUUUAAAUAUUUUAAUUAUCACUCAAAUAAUAUUCAGACUCUUUUUAAAACGUAAUUUAUUCUCUCAAAACUCUCUUUAAAUAUUUUAAUUAUCUUUAAAUAUUUUAAUUAUUACUCAAAUAAUAAUUUUGAUGUUUAAGUUUUAUCUAAUAUUUUUUUCAUAUAAUAUACUAUUUUAUUAUGUUUAAAAUUUGAAUUACAUAUUUAUUACGAAUAAAUAUAUUACAUACAUUCGGAGGUUAAAAAACAAACAGUCUUAAUCAUUCAGUAUUCAGAUCUAGAAACAUCUUAAUCAUUCAAAUAUUCAUUCAGAUUUAGACGUCUUAAUCUUAAAAAAAACAAAUGCACCCUUAAAGGGUAUGCAUAUACACAUGCAUCUCUCUACUUAUAUACAGGAAGAUCUUAUGGCUGGUGAUGAACUCUGGGAAGGGUUUUGCCGUUGUUGAUGUUGUUGCGCUCAAGUAUGAAAGGCUGUGAUGAUUAAGGUGUCUAGAGUUCAUGGGGCAAAGGGGAGCUGGGUCCGUAUCUUGGCGGGGCGCCCCGGAAAGUACUGUUCGUUGUGCAACUGAGGUCUGCAGCCAUGGCGGAUGUGUUGUCUUCUUUGCUCUGAUAUUCUAAUCUGAGCCUUAAAAUUGAACUCUAGUUGUGGGAAUUCACCGGGUAUGUUGUUGUUGAGCCUUAAAAUUGGAAGUUUCUGCAGUAUGUAUAUACACAUACAUAAUCUCUCCCUCUGUAUAUGUAUAUGUACAUGGGAAGAAGGGUUUAAGAUUUGACUCUUUUGCUACUUCUGUUUCUUCUUCUUUUUCUGCUUUUUCCUUAUCAUCAUCUAUUGCCGGUGUUGAAAUCCUCGAAAAGGGAUUUUGCUGUGAUUGAUAUUGUUGUUGCUGCUGCUGUUAUAUAUGAGAGGCUGUGAUGAUUUAGGUGCCUAGAGUUCAUGGGGCAAAGGGGAGCUGGUUCCGUAUCUUGGAGGAGUGACCCAGAAGGCCUAUUUCUAGUGCAUCUGAGGUCUGCAACCAUGGUGGAUGAGUCGUCUCUUUACCCUGAUUAUUCUGAUCUAAGCCUUAUAGCGAAAAGGUUUUGGAGGAAGAAGGGUUUAGGGUUUAAGCUCUGACCCUUUUUGUUUCUUCUUCAUCGUCGUUGUUGGGUUCGAAAUCCAGAGGGCGUCAUGCGGAAGCUUAAAGUUGCAUAUACUAAGAGAUGAUAAAUCAGAUGACAAAGAAAAACUAAACUAAAAACAUACUAUUAUUGAUAUGGUUUCGCCAGCCUACAUAUUAAAAUCUAAUUCAAAAAACAUAAAGACUAUUUGAGAGAAAAUCUCCCCCUAAACAAGACUCUUAAAUGACUACAUUGUGGAUGAUAUAUUGUUGGCUUGAGAAGAGAGAUCUUCUAUUUAUAGAACUACAAACCGUCCCUCUAAAAAAAGAGUAAACCUAAUAGAAAAGAGAUCCUUCCAAACAAGGAAGCCUUUUUCCACCAAGAAAAGUAAUUCUAAUUAUGGUAGAAAAUCAGGUAAAGUAGAAAUUCAAGGCAAAUCCUAACAGUGGUCAUCUUCAUCUUCUCCACAAUUUUAUGUCAGGCAUUGAAUCCUGGAAUGGGGUUUUGCCGUGGUUUAAUUUUUUUUUAAUUAAUAUUGUUGUUGUUGCUUCACUUGAGCCUAGGGUCUUUUGGAAACCUCUCUACCUCCAUGAGGUAGUGGUAAGUUCUGCAUACACUCUACCCUCCCCAGACCUCAAGUCUUGUGGGAUUUUACUGGCUAUGGUGUUGUAAUAUUGUUGUUGUUUUUAUGGAUAAGAGGCUGUGAUGAUUAAGGUGUCUAGAAGUCAUUGGGCAAUCGGAGCUGGGUUGUAUCUUGGCGGGGCGACCUGGAAGGUACUAUUGGUAGUGCAACUUAAGUCUGCAGCCAUGGUGUAUGUGUUGUCUUCUUUGCCUUGAUUAUACUGAUCUGAGCCUUAAAAUCAGAAGUUUCUGCAGUAUGUAUACAUAUCUCUUGCUCUCUCUCUCUGUAUAUAUAUGCAUGUGGGAAGAAGGGUUCAGGGGUUUAAGAUUUGACCCUUUUUGUUGCUACUUCUUUCUUUUUCUUCUUCAUGAUCAUCAUCAUCUAUGGCCGGUAUUGAAUCCUUGAAAUGGGUUUAUGGCCUUUGUUGAUAUUAUUAUUACUAUUAUUGUUGUUGCUGCUGCUGUUGCUCUUACUGUUGCUAUUACAGAUGAUAGGCUAUGAUGAUUAAGGUGUCUAAGUAGGGGAGCUGGGCCCGUAGCUUGGCGGGGCGACUCGGAAGGUACUAUUUGUAGUGCAACCGAUGUAUGCAGCCAUGGCGGAUGUGUUGUCUCCUUUGCCCUGAUUAUACUGAUCUGAGCAUUAUAAAAUACCACAAAAAGGUUAUACAUAUAUACGCAUACACCUUUCUAUAUAUAUACAAUACAGGAAGAGGGGUUUAGGAUUUACGAUCUUACCCUUUUGCUGCUUCAUCAUCAUCGUUGUCUUCAUUUGCAUCUCCCCCACCCCCACCCCCACCCCACCACAAUAUAUGGCCAGAAAUGAAUCCUGAAAAGGGGUUUUGCCAUGGUUGAUAUUGUUUUUAAUUGUUAUUAUUAUUAUUAUUAUUAUUAUUAUUAUUAUUAUUGUUGCUGCUCAUGUUAUGGCUGAGAGGCUGGGAUGAUUGAGGUGUCUCUACAGUUCAUGGGUUAAGGGAUCUGGGUCGGUAUCUUGGCGGGACGACCCGGAAGGCACUGUUCAUAGUGCAACCGAGGUCUGUAGCCAUGGCAGAUGCAUUCUUCCCUUUGCCCUGUUUAUAGUAAUCUGAGCCUUAAUGAAGCCCUGAUUGUUUAUAAGAACAUCACUUUCCUUUUCUGGCAACUCCUUAAAUCGACCUUUUCACAUGACAUGUUUAUGUUUGACCACAAGAUUAAAUCACAUUUUGUUAGAUUCUACAUAUUUUGUUUAUGACCAAGAUUUAUCUUUUUAAAGUCCGUGGCAAGUAAAAACUAGACAAACAAAUUUUAACAGACUUCAUGUGGAUAGUGAGGCAAGAACAAGAGAUGCCUCAUGACGCCGCCGUCACUCUCUCGGCUUCGACUUCGGAUUUGGAUUUGGAUCGAGAGAUUAAUUUUUUGGACAAAAUUUAUUCGAAAGUUAAAAAUAAGUGAAAUUUUAAUCCACAAAUCCAAUAGAAAUAUUUUUCUCCAUUUCCAGACGCACUUUGGACGCAGUGCGAACGCAGUCGCAACACACCCCAAUGGGAUGCAACCCUUCGAGGUACAAGACGUACUGGUUGGGGUAGAAACGCGACCUGCGCGUGCACCUAGCGACCUGCGGGCGCAAGUCAAGCAUAGACCUCACUGGAAAGUGUCAAACGUCAUCUGCGGCUGCAGGUCUAGCGCAGACCGGAUGCAGGUGACAUGACUGUUCCAAAAUGUUCUCUCUUUUCAUGAACCAUUGCUUCUUUUUCGAAGGGACACUUUAUGGCUAUAAAUACCUGAACCUUUUCUAGGUGAAGGCAUGAUUUUGAGUUGAAAAACAUCUAUUUGUUCUUCUAAAGAACUCUCGUGUGAUCAUCAAAUCGUUGAGUGAGUUCGAAGUUCGAAAAAAUUUAAGGCACCACUGUUUUCUGAAAGUGAAUCAUCGGAUACUUGAUUGUAAGCAUCAUUGCUGGUGCUUGUAUGUAGGCUGUGAUGAUAUUGCUUAUUGAGUUAAUUGGGUUUUGGUCAAGGGAAGCCACGUCUUGGAAGGGCAAACUAAAAAGUGUUGCCAGUGGAGUAACCAGUAUUGGAUUGUAGUAUGUUAUUAUUCUGGUUUGCAGCCAUGGCAGUGUCCGUUUCCUUUACCUGAUCUUCUGAUUUAUCUGAGCAUACUUAUGUACUCUACGAAGAAUAGUCUAUCAGAGUGAAAAUAAGUAAAACAAAUUAGAAUAUGGCAGCAUUGUGAUGGACAGUUUCUAAAAUUGGUUAGCCCCCCAUCUGAAUGCCAAUGAUUCUCAAUGAUCUGCUACUAUCAUUGCAACCAUUCUUUAAAUGCUUUACUAUUUUGUCAUAAUGCUUUCCCUUUCAAAAUCACAAUUAUAAGAGCAGUAUUAUUGAUGCCUAUGUGUAGGAUGUGAUGAUAAAGUUCUUGAGUUUAUGUGUUUCGGUCAAUCCAUCGGGACCUGUAUCUUGGUGGUGCAUGUGGAACCAUUUACCAAGGAUGUAUUAUAAGCAAUAGAUUAUAGGUAUUAGACUGGAACAGAUUUAAAUGGAGUGAUAUCUAUAUUAAUGAUUUAUACGGUUGAUCCUAAUUCCUAAUACUUGUAUGCUAUCAUGGUUUGCAGCCAUGGUGGUGUUCUACUCACCUCUCUCUUUAUGUAUAUAUUGUUGUGUUUGGGUUGUCAUGAUAAGUUUCUUGAUCUAUGGAUAGAAUAAGUUAUUCUUGCCUUAGCAAUGUAAAUUUGACCUUUGGGAAAGAUAUAUUCUUGAAGUUGUUCCUCUCUGGCUAAUGUUUACUGAUUCAGGUGUUUUUCACCAGUGCAACUUUAGCUCAACUGGCGCUCUUAUCGAAGAGAAGUUCACGGUUCUUGACAGUGUUCAACAAUUUGAAAUUCUUGAAGUUAAGCAAUGAAUUAAAAUGCUGAUAGAAAGUAACUCAUCUUCCCCGCGUGAUUGCUUUAAGGUAGUGACCUGCAUUUUAGUCCAUGGCUUGCCUUCAAGAACGUCAAUUGUGGAUAUGCUUGUUUAUGGUAAACUUAUACUGUCGAAGAGAAGUGGCCAAGCUUAAAAAGUAUUCUUACACUGUGAAGCUCAAGUUUGCGAGCAAUUCGAUAAACAACUAGAGUGAUGUGAACCUUUUCUUAAGCUCUUUAGAAUGGAAUGUCAAAUCAAGCUUCUACUUUGCUGUAUAUUGUAGAAAGCAAGCUUAAAAAGUAUUCUUACACUGUGAAGCACAAGUUUGCAAACAAUUCGACAAUUUAUGGCCGGCGUUGAAUCCUGAAAUGGGGUUUUUGCCGUGGUUGAUAUUGUUGUUGUUGUUGUUGAUGAUGCUAUGGCUGAGAGGCGGUGAUGAUUAAGCUGUCUAGAAUUCAUGGGGUAAGGGAGCUGUGUCCGUGUCUUGGCGAUGCAACCCGGUAGAUCUAUUUUAUAGAGCAACCGAGGUCUGUAGCCAUGGCAGAUGUGUUGUCUCCUUUGCUCUCAUUAUGUAAACCUGAACCUUAAAAAUCGGAAGUUUCUGCAGUAUGUAUGCAUACACUUAUCUACCUAUCUCUCUCUCUCUCUCUCUCUCUCUAUAUAUAUAUAUAUAUAUGGGAAGAAGGAUAUAGGAUUUAAGAUUUGAUCCUUUUGCUAGUUCUUUUUCCUCUUAAUCAUCAUCAUCUAUGGCCGGUGGUAAAUCCUUGAAAAGGGUUUUUGCCAUGGUUGAUAUUAUUAUUGUUGUUGUUGUUACUACUACUACUUGUGUCUAGAGUUCAUUGGGCAAGGGAGCUGGGUCCGUAUCUUGGCGGGGCGACCCGGAAGGUACUAUUGGUAAUGCGACCGAUGUCUGCAGCCAUGGCGGAUGCAUUGUCUCCUUUGCUCUGAUUGUGCUGAUCUGAGCCUUAAAAUCAGAAGUUUCUGCAGUAUAUAUACGUAUUCUCAUUCAUCAUGCAUCUCUCUUUAUAUAUAAUAGAGGAAGAGGGGUUUAGGGUUUAAGAUCAUACCCUUUUACUUCUUCUUCAGAGUUAUGAUCGUUGUCAUCUUCAUCUCCUCCACCCCCACCACAUAUAUGGCCGAAAUGAAUCCUGAAAAGGGUAUUUGCCAUGGUUGAUAUUGUUGUUGUUGUUAUUAUUGUUGUUGUUAUGGAUGAGAGGCUGUGAUGAUUAAGGUGUCUAGAGUUCAUGGGGCAAGGGAACAAGGUGGCGGAUGCAUUGUUUUCUUUGCCCGCAUUAUGUAAAUCUGAGCCUGAAAAUCAAAAAGUUUCUGCAGUAUGAUAGAGAUACAUCUCUCUCUCUCUCUCUCACUUUGUGUGUGUGUGUGUGUGUGUGUGUGCGCACGCGCGUAUACAUACAGGAAUGAAGGGUUCAGGGUUUCUUCAUCAUCUACGAAUCCUUGAAAAGGAAUUUUGCCGUGGUUGAUAUAAUUGUUAUUACUAAUUUUAUUGUUGAUGUUGCGAAUGAUAGGCUGUGAUGAUUUAAGGUCUCUAGAGUUCAUGGGUCAAGGGAGCUGUGCCCGUAGCUUGGCGGGGCGACCAGGAAGGUAUUGUUUGUAGUGCAACCAGUGUCUGCAGCCAUGGCGGAUGCAUUGUUUACUUUGCCCUAGUUAUACUGAUCUGAGCCUUAAAAAGUACCCCAAAAAGGGUAUACAUAUACACAUGCAUCUCUCCAUACAUCUCUCUAUGUAUAUACAUUUCUCUUCAUCAUCAUAUAUGGCAGACAUUGAGAUCCCUGAAGAGGGUCUUUGCUGUGGUUGAUAUUGUUGUUGUUGUUCAUUGUCAAAAAAAAAUAAUUGUUGUUGUUGACAGUGGCGGAGCCAGGAUUUUCAUCGAGGGGGUUUAGAAGUAUAUAUACGAACUAGUAGAAGGGGGUUCAACAUCUACUAUAUAUGCAUAAAAAAUAUUUUAACCAUGUAAAAAUAGUAUAAUUUUCCGUCGAAGGGGUGGCUCCCCCACUGGUUGUUGACUAUGAUAUGGAUGAGAGACAUUGAUGAUUAAGUAGGUGUUUGGCCAUGAAAACCAAAAAAAUUUCACUCUAUUUGGAAUUUUUGGAGUUGUGUUUUGCUAUACAGGAAUGAAGGGUUUAGAGUUUAAAAUCAUUUGACCCUUUUGUUGCUACUACUUUUUUCGGCGUUGGAAUCCUUGAAAAGGGGCUUUUACCGUAGUUGAUAUUGUUGUUGUUGUUGAUGAUGAUAUGGAUGAGAGGCUGUGAUGAUUUAACGUGUCUAGAGUUCAUGGGCAUGGGAGCUGGGUCUGUAUCUUGGCGGGGCGACCCGGAAGUGCAACCUAGGUCUGCAGCCAUGGCAGAUCAUUGUCUCCUUUGCCCUGAUUAUAUUGAUCUGAGCCUUAAAAAACAUGGCAAACAACAUAAAUCCCGAUAGUUUGGAGCUUAAUUAUAGAAAAUCCCGACAUUUUGCAUAAUUACUGAAAAUCCCGAUUUUGGGUCUGUUGAGAUACAUAAUUAGCUCCCGAUACAUUCAACGAAAAUACAUAAUUAGUUGGGAUUUUGUAAUUGCUUUUUAAGGGUGGGGAUUUGUGUAAAUAUGGUAAGUUAAGGUGUAUGUUAUUUUUUCUAAAAAUGGGCACCAACAGAAAGGGUAUGCAUAUACAUCUAUUUACAUAUAUACAGAGAUCUUAAUGUUGCUGUUACAGAUGUUAGGCUAUGAUGAUUAUGGUGUCUAAGUAAGGGAGUUGUCUCGUACCUUGGCGGUGCGACCCGGAAGGCACUAUUACUAGUGCAACCGAGGUCUGCAACCAUGGCGGAUCAUUGUCUCCUUUGCCCUGAUUAUAUUGAUCUGAGCCUUAAAAAAUAGGGCAAACAACAUAAAUUCCGACAGUUUGGAGCUUAAUUACAGAAAAUCUCGACAUUUUGCAAAUCCCAAUUAGCUCCCGAUACAUUCAAUGAAAAUACAUAACUAGUUGGGAUUUUUUUAAUUGCUUUGGGUGGGGAUUUGUGUAAAUAUGGUAAGUUAAGGUGUAUGUUUAUGAGAUUUUUUCUAAAAAUGGGCACCCACACAAAGGGUAUACAUAUACAUCUCUUUACAUAUAUACAGAGAUCUUACUGUUGCUGUUACAGAUGAUAGGCUAUGAUGAUUAUGGUGUCUAAGUAAGGGAGCCGUCCCGUAGGCAACCUGGAAGGCACUAUUAGUAGUGCAACCGAGGUCUGCAGCCAUAGCGGAUGCAUAGGGACACUUGACAAUUACAGAAUUGGUCAGUUUUUUUUUCCUGCAAAUCUGAAUUCAGCAUAGGGACAACGGAUGUCAUUUUAAGCUAUUAUGUUAGACCCAACCCGGAGCACAACAACAUUGUAUCCUCAUUUAUGGAUGAUAUGAGAAUGGACCCUUAAAAAUCCAGUUGCUAGAUUUUAACAGCCGAAUGAGGCUGUGAUGAUUAAUUGUCUUGAGUUGGUUUGGCCGUUUGGGGCUGCCUGCAUCUUGGCAAUGCGACCAGGUAAGGCAUUUCCUUUGUUUAGCAUUUUCGCAGCAACUACACGACCUUCAGUCUGUGUCUCCGUCAUGGCUUUGAAAUUAUUAAAGAGGCAGUGAGGAUGAUUUUUCCCUAUUUCUGGCUAACUCAUGGAGAUCACCUACCCAUAUUAUGGUGUGGCGACCCGGUAUGGCCUGUGAUUGAGACGCACAUCUCACACAUGCAAUCGUGUGUUGCAGCCAUGGCGUGGUUGGCUUCUCUUUUGCCUAAUCAAUUUGCUUAAGAAAAUAGGGAAAAGAGUCAAAUUUACCCCUUUACUAUGGAUAAGGGGCAAUGUCUUUUCCAUUAAUCUGGGAGAUAUCGAACCAGCACCCUCUUGAUCUGCAGUUAUAAUGUGGGAGAUAUCAAACUAACGCCCUUUUCUGGGCUAACUAAUUCGGACAUGGAGAUUACCUAACCCGUAUCUUGGCAUGGAAACUCGGUAUGGCCUGUGCAAUAGACUCAUAUCUCACACAUGCAAUCGUGUGUUGCAGCGAUAGCACGGUUGGCUUUUCUUUUGCCUUAUCAUAACAUAAAUCUGAGCCUCAAUUUGCUAAAGAAAAUAGGGAAAGAGAUCAAAUUUACUUCUUUACUUUGCAUAAGGGGCGAUAUCUUUCCCAUGAUUAAUGUGGGAGAUAUUGAACCGACGCCCUUGUGACUAGCAAUUACAAUGAUUUUCACUCGCAAUGUAUUUCCAUGUUUUGGUAACUAACAGCUCAAGAAUGAGGCCAAGUCAGCAUCGAGGUGUAUUUUAUUACAAAGAAAGUGGUACUUUAGGUACGUAAAUGGUAUAAUAAAUAGUUAAGGUAUGAAAGUCGCAAAAAUGUGAUAGUUUAGAUGUGUUUUUUACCAUUAACUCUUUAUAAAAUAACCUAGGAAAAGGGAGUUUUUCUGCAACUCUAGACGGAAAGAAUGAGGCGGCGGAGAGGCAUUGGGGAGUCUUUAAUGGUGGUUGCCCUCUCUCUUUUCUUUCGCCGAUGAUUUCCUUUCUCGAUUUUUCACCCAAAGUCACUGCAUUAAAACCACCAUAAUUGAAAAUGGUCUAAGGUACAUAUAUUGUCCCUUAAACUCCUCCUCCUAUCUAGCUUUUAACUACCGGGUGAGGCUUUGAUGAUGACUAAUGAACUUUUCUUGAGUUUGAUCGGGCAUUUGGAGCUGCCCGUAUCUUGGCGGGGCGACUUGGUAAGGCAUCUCCUUUGUUUUGCAACCGAAGGUCUGAAGCCAUGGCGGUUGCUUGUCUCUUUUGCCCUGAUUUUAUCACAGAUCUGAGCCUCAAGAGAAAGACCCUUGAACCAUGGUGAAUCCUUUGUUGUGAGAUCUGUCCAAAAUGAGGCAGCAGUGUAAUGGGUUUUCUAUCAGGGGUGGUUGCCCUUCUCAAUGCUUUGCCUAUGAUUCUUCCAUUUUUUAAACAAACCAACAGCUCUUAGAAAGGGGAAAGAGAAAAAGUUAGCCCUUAAACUGUACACUACAGUUUCUGGGUUUUUCUUUUUCAGUCAUUUAGGUUCUGGACUCUGGUUUUCUUGAGCCGAGGUCUAUCGGAAACAACCUCUCUAGCUCCCACAAAGGACCAGGUAAGGUCUGAAAUGCAUCUGCUUCACCAUUGGUAGCUUUUAAUUACAGGAUGAGAGGCUGUGAUGAUUAAGCUAUCUAGAGUUCAUGGGGUAUGGGAGCUGGGUCCCUAUCUUGACGGGGCGACUCGGAAGGCCUAUUUUGUAGAGAAACCGAGGUCUGCAGCCAUGGUGGAUGCACUAUCUCCUUUGCCCUCAUUAUAUAUAUCUGAGCCUUAAAAACGGAAAUUUCUGCUUUAUGUAUAGUUAUACACAUACAUCUCUCUUCUGUAUGUGUGUGUGUAUAUAUAUAAAUAAUGUAAGGAAUAAGGGUUUAGGGUUUAAGAUUUGACCCUUUUGUUGCUACUUCUUUUUUUUCCACCUUAUUAUCAUCAUCUAUGACCAGCCUUGCAAAGGGUUUUGACAUGGUUGAUGUUGUUGUCAUUGUUGUUGCUGUAUGGAUGAGAGGCUGUGAUGAUUAAAGUGUCUUGAGUUCAUGGGGUAAAGGGGAGCAAGGCCCGUAUCUUGGCGGGGCCACCCGGAAAGUACUAUUCGUAGAGCAACCGAGUUCUUCAGCCAUGGUGGUUGCUUUGUCUCAUUUGCCCUGAUUUCAUCUCUUUUAGUUACCGGGUUAGCAGGAAAUUACGCCUAGUGUUCCCAAAGUGUCUGGUCAUGAAGUGUUGUACCCUAAAGUGUCCGGUCUUGAAUCAAGACCAUCCCCUAUGGAGACCAUUUUGGUAGUACUUUUCUUAUGGAGCACAAAAUAUCAGGACCAGCCCAUUUUAGGGCCAUUUCUUAACUUGACCCUCGGAUGAGGCUGUGAUGAUGACUAAUGAAGUUUAGAGUUGGGUUGGGGCAUUUGGAGCUGCCCGUAUCUUGGUGGGGCAACCCAGUAAAGCAUCUCCUUUGUUUUGCAACUGAAGGUCUGCAGCCAUGGCGGUUGCUUGGUCUCCUUUUGCCUGAUUUAUCUUACAAUCUGAGCCUCAAAAGAAGACCCUUCAGCAAAAAGCACCAUUUCCUUCUUGCAUGUAAUUACUGGCAAAUCCCUUUUUGUAAGAUUAGCUCAGAGGGAAAGAGGGUCUUUCGGGAACAGCCUCUCUACCUCCCCGAGGUAUUGGUAAGAUCUGCGUACGCUUUACCCUCCCUAGGCCUCACUUGUUGGAUUUCACUGGGUAUGUUGUUGUUGUAGCUCAGAAUGAGGCAGUAGAGGGAGUAAUGGGAUCCCAUCAAGGGUGGUUUCCCUUCUCUGUGCUUUGCUUAUGAUUCACCAAUUCUUAACAAACCAACAACCUUUAAAAAAGAGAAAGGGACAAAGAUGGAGUACUCUGCAGUUUCUGGGGUUUUGUUUUCCGUCAUUUAGGUUUUGGACUCUGAUUUUCUUGAGUCAAGGUCUAUUGGAAACAACCUUUCUGGUCCCCACAGAUGACCGGGUUAGGUCUGUGUGCAUGUACUGCCCCUUAAACUGCUCUGCUUCUUUCGGUGACAGCCUCUCUAUCUCUAUGAGGUUGGGUUAAGGUCUGCGUACACUAUAUCAAGUAUAAACUCUACCUCUGUCUGCGUACUCUAUAAACUCUACCUCCCAGGACCCCACUUGUGGGAUUACACGGGGUAUGUUUUUGUAAACUGCUUCUGCUUCUUCACCAUUGCUAGCUUUUAAUUACAUGAUGAGGCUGUGAUGAUGACAAAUGAAGUUCUAGAGUUGGUCGGGUAUUGGAGCUUCCCGUAUCUUGGCGGGGGAAUCCGGUAAGGCAUCUCGUUUUGCAACCGAGGUCUGCAGCCGUGGUGGUUUGUUUGUCUCCUUUUGCCUGAUUUUCUCUCACGGAUCUGAGCCUCAAGACCAAAGAAUUGGGUGGGAAGAACCUUCAUAGGCAGUUGGCCAUAUUUCUUUGUGAAAAUAGAUAAAAAAUUGUUUUUGUUUUAAAAGUGGAAAAUGAUAUUCUGAUGUUGGAGUUGUGUUUGGCCACAUAAUAAAUUGGAGUUGUUUUGGAAUUUUUUUGUGUAAUUUGGAGUGAAAAAAUUGAAAACAACUUUUUGUUGUUUUUUGGAAUUUUUGAAAAUUCUUGAUAAAUGUAAACACAGUUUUUUUUUGGAAUUUUAUGGCCAAAUGAACCCCCAAGUUUUGUAAGUUUCCUUUUGUUAGAUUAGCCCAGAAAUGGCAAGAAUGAGGCAGCAGAGAGGGUAUGGGAUUUCUUUCAAAGGUGAUUGCCCUUCUCUCUGCUUUGCCUGUGAUUCUCUAUCUUCUAUAAACCAACAGCCCUUUAAAAGAAGAGACACAGUACAUUUGAGUUUCUGGUUUUCUUUGCAUUUUUGCACCCUCAAAUGUAUGCUCAAAACGCAAUACACACAACGACAACUACAUGACCUUCUAAUUUCCGAUCUGUGUCUCCAUCAUGGCUUUGAAAAUUAUUAAAGUGGCAGUAAUGAUGGUUUUUUCUCUAUUUCUGGGCCAACUGAUUUGGGCAUGGAGAUAACCAACCCGUAUUUUGGUUUGGCAACCCUGUAUGGCCAGUGAUUGAGGAGCAUUCUCACACAUGCAAUCGUGUAUUGCAGCAAUGGCGUGGUUGGCUUCUCUUUUGCCUUAUCAUAACAUAAAUCUGAGCCUCAAUUUGCUCAAGAAAACAGGGGAAAGGGUAAAUUUACCCCUUUAUAUGCAUAAGGGGCAAUAUCUUUUCCAUGAUUAAUAUGGGAGAUAUUGAACCAACGCCCUUCUGAUCUGCAGUUUCAAUGCUUUUCACUCAUAAUGUAUCACCAUCGUAUUUUUUUGGCAAGUAGAAUGAGGCAUUUUAAUGAAAUGUUGGAUUUCUAUGAACUUGUCUGAAGUUUCUUGUUCGAGGUGUUUCAUUGAUGUUUGAAUAGAUUAGUUUAUAAUAUUACCUUGUGGGUGUCUUGUUUCCUUUAUUAUCUAGCAUUGUGUUAUACCAUUUUUUGUGUGCUUUUUAUGUUUUUUUGUUUGUUAUACUAUUAUCUAUCCUAAGCCGGGGGUCUAUCGGAAACAACCUCUCUAAGUCAUCUGGGGUAGUGGUGGGGUAGUGGUAUGGACUGCAUACACUUUACCCUCCCCAGACCCCACUUUAUGGGAAUACACUGGGUAUGUUGUUGUUGUUGGAUUUCUAUGAACUCUAAGCGAAAAGAAUGAGGCAACAGAGAAGCAUUGGGGAGUCUUUAAUGGUGGUUUCCCUCUCUCUGUUCUUUCACCUGCACUAAAACCACCAUACUUGAAUAUGGUCUAAUCACAUUUGAUGCCCCUUAAAACUAUGAGCGUGUUUGGAUUGGCUUAUUUGACGUGCUUUUAAGAAUACUACUACUACUAAUUUUUCACCUCUUCCUCUUCAUCAAUGAGGCUGUGAUGAUGACAAAUGAAGUUGUCUGGAGUUGGAUUGGGUAUUGGAGCUGUUCGUAUCUUGGCAGGUGACCUGAUAAGGCAUUCGAAUUGUUUUGCAACUGAAGGUCUGCAGCCAUGGCGGUUGCUUUGUCUCCUUUUUACCUGAUUUUAUCCACAAAUCUGAGCCUUAAGAGAAAGACCCUUGAGCCAUGGUGAAUCCCUUUUUGUUAGAUUUGCCAAGAAUGAGGCAGCAGAGGGAGUAAUGGGAUUUCUAUCAAAGGUGGUUGCCCUUCUCUCUGCUUUGCCUAUGAUUCUUCCAUUCUUUAACAAAACAAACAGCCCUUAGCAAAGAGAAAAGAGGCCAAGAUGUUGCCCGUAAACUGUACACUACAGUUUCUGGGCUUUUUUCAGGUCAUUUAGGUUCCGGACUCAAUGGUGAUCUACAGGAAACAGCCUCUUUACCCCUACAGGUAACUGAUCUUACCUUCCAUAUGUUGUUGUUGAAACACCUUCUGCUUCUUCACUUGUUGACACCUUCCUCUUCACCUUUGCUAGCUUUUAAUUACUGGAUAAGUCUGUGAUGAUGACAAAUGAAGUUGUCUGGAGUUGGGUCGGGCAUUAGAGCUACCUGUAUCUUGGCGGGGCAAUCUGGUAAGGAAUCUGCAACCGAGGUCUGCAGCCUCAAGAGGACCUUUCAGAAAGAGAAGCCCUAUUUCCUUUUUGCGAGCAAUUACUGGUGAAUCCCUUUUUGUUAGAUUAGCUCAGAAUGAGGUAGCAGAGAGAGUAAUGGGAUUUCUAUCAAGGGUGGUUGCCCUGCUCUAUGCUUUGCCUGUGAUUCACCAUUUUUUAAACAAACCAACAGCCCUUAGCAAAGAGAAAAAAAAGAUGAUUGUUUACUGGAAAAAUGGUACAUUUAAAUUUGUAUUAGGUCAAGGACACGCAUUAUUAAUUUAGCUCGUUAAAUAUGAUUAUCUGCAGCCAUGGCAGUUGCUUUUUCUCCUUUUAGCUGAUUUGUCACAGAUCUGAGCCUCAAUAGAAAGAAUUGGGUGAGAAGACCCUUCAAAAGUCCAGCAAAUUAUUGUUUGUUGGGUUAGCCCAGAAAUGGCGAGAAUGAGGCAGCAUAGAGAGUAUGGGAUAUCUUUCAUGGGCGGUUUCCCUUCUCUCUGCUUUGCCUAUGAUUCUCCAUUUUUAACAAACCAACAGCCCUUAAAAAAGAAAGAGAGAGAGUGCAUUUGAGUUUCUGGGUUUCGUAGCACGUUUGCACCUUUGAUGUAUACUCAAUGCAGUAUACAACUAUACUACAACAGUUACACGACCUUCAGAUAUUCAGUGUGUCUCCGUCAUGGCUAUGAAUAUGAUUAAAAGAGGCAGUGAUGAUUUUUUUCUCUAUUUCUGGGCUAACUAAUUCAGGCAUGGAGAUUUCCCAACCCGUAUCUUGGCGUGCCAACCCGGUAUGGCCUGUGAUGGAGACCCAUAUCUCACCCAUGCAAUCGUGUGUUGCAGCCAUGGCGUGGUUGGCUUCUCUUUUGCCUUACCAUGACACAAAUCUGAGCCUCAAUUUGCCAUAUCUGUGUAUUUGGCCUAUCUAAAGUAAUAAUACAAUAAAAUACAAUUGGUAACAACCAUCCAAGCAAGUUGUUAUUGGUUCGUUUGGUUGAGAGACAAGUUAUGCCAGCAUAAUUGACGGUUUGAAAGAGGCAAUGAUGAUUUUAUCAA
Molecule: long non-coding RNA, 26250 nt
Organism: Capsicum annuum
Lineage: Eukaryota; Viridiplantae; Streptophyta; Magnoliopsida; Solanales; Solanaceae
Exons: 2
Source: RefSeq, a predicted model, not a curated record